This 427-nucleotide long non-coding RNA is filed under the name Calidris pugnax (ruff). RNAcentral's name for it is "lncRNA (ENSCPUG00000012580.1)". Lineage: Eukaryota; Metazoa; Chordata; Aves; Charadriiformes; Scolopacidae. The record is from RNAcentral.
CUUGCUUGGAAAUUCAGUUAGCAGGAUCAUAUUAUUUGGAAAUAGUGUUUUAAUUGGAAACUGAUUGCCACACCUUUCCUUGAAGAAGGACGCCCCAGAACAGAGAGGACUUCCCUCCAGCUGGUGCUACAAGUGCCGAGUAAGCCUGUCCUGUGCUGACAUUGGUGGGGAAGAGUGACAUCGGGCGCUGGCUGGGGGCCCACUUGGUAGCAGGAGACCUUUGCGGCAUGAGCCAGAGGACGAGGUGCAGAGCCCUCCCUGGGACCGGCGUCAGACAGAUGGCCUGGCAGAUAUUCUGUGCCACCGACGGGCAGCCUGGCAUCUGGGGCCUCGUAUGCGAAUGACACUGCAAUUAUCACGAAAUGGAAAAGGAUGGAUACUGCUGUUGCAGUGGUUCAUGGGAGGAAUCCAAAUAAAUAUGACAUAG